GACUGGGUCACACCCAACCAAUACCCAGUUCCAGGAGGACCCCCACUGUCCCUAGCCCAGGGUCAGAGUCGGGGCUCAUCACCAGCCACCUCCCACACUCAGGCCAUCCUGAGAGCGGGGACACUGAAACUCUACCCAGAAAUCCACCAACAGGCCAAGAAAGCCCCGGAAAAGCCUGCUUCCACUGCCCUGGGAGCUCGCACUUGCCUGUUCGCUGAGUCUCUCAGGAAGGCAGCCGGGUAGUGGACCGCGUUUUCACAAGUUCUCCUGUGGGCCGGUGCUGCUCAACAGGCCACCAGCCUCAGCCCGGGCAGCAGCUGAUCUCUAUCAACCGCACCCACUCAAACUAUCCUCACCUGGAUUCUCAGCCCACACUCCUGAUCAGGGAUCACCUGACCCGAAGCACGGAAGCGCCUUGGACUCCGCCCCUGUCUUCUUAGAUGAAGAAGCUACAAUAAGGCCCCACAGGGUUAGCAGAAGCUUCCAUGGCUCCUUUGCCUUCUCCAGUUGUGUUUGAACAGCGGCAGAUGAGGAGCUCUUCUAGAAGGUGCACUCCGUUGUUAGGGAGACGGAACUGGGAUUUCCUGGGUCACUUCCAACUUCAAGAUUAGCUUUUUGAUUAUGAAACAUAGACCCAGAGAGAUGAAGUGACUUAACCAAGGACACCUCAAGCUCAUGGCAGAGAUGUGGCAGCUGAAGGCUUGUGCUUUUGUUUCUACAGCCAUUGUUCUUUCCACAAUUCAAGUCAUCUUGGCUACAGGGGACCCGAGAAGCCCUGAUUUGUACUUCAACAUCUGAUUAUACCUUUUUAGCAGCUCAUUAAAUGCUCCUACCCUGGCA
Molecule: long non-coding RNA, 840 nt
Organism: Mesocricetus auratus (golden hamster)
Lineage: Eukaryota; Metazoa; Chordata; Mammalia; Rodentia; Cricetidae
Exons: 4
Source: RefSeq, a predicted model, not a curated record